Molecule: ribosomal RNA, 253 nt
Filed under: uncultured bacterium
Lineage: Bacteria
Description: partial 16S ribosomal RNA
Rfam family: Bacterial small subunit ribosomal RNA
Source: RNAcentral
UACGAAGGGCCCAAGCGUUGUUCGGAAUCAUUGGGCGUAAAGCGGGUGUAGGCGGCCCUGUAAGUCAGGAGUGAAAUACCCAGAUCCAAUUUGGGACGUGCUUUUGAAACUGCGGGGCUAGAGUGUGGAAGAGGAUAGUGGAAUUCCUGGUGUAGUGGUGAAAUACGUAGAUAUCAGGAGGAACAUCGGUGGCGAAGGCGGCUAUCUGGCCCAACACUGACGCUCAGACCAGAAAGCGUGGGGAUCAAACAGG